GUAAGGAAUAUUGGACAAUGGGCGGAAGCCUGAUCCAGCCAUGCCGCGUGAAGGAAGAAUGCGCUCAGCGUUGUAAACUUCUUUUGAAUGGGAACAAUAAUCCCGACGUGUCGGGACUUGAGGGUACCAUUAGAAUAAGCACCGGCUAACUCCGUGCCAGCAGCCGCGGUAAUACGGAGGGUGCAAGCGUUAUCCGGAAUCACUGGGUUUAAAGGGUGCGUAGGCGGUUUGAUAAGUCAGUUGUGAAAUUCACCGGCUUAACCGGUAGAACUGCGAUUGAUACUGUCAGACUUGAAUCAGGUUGAGGUAGGCGGAAUGUGGCAUGUAGCGGUGAAAUGCAUAGAUAUGCCAUAGAACACCGAUUGCGAAGGCAGCUUGCUGGACCUAGAUUGACGCUGAGGCACGAAAGCGUGGGGAGCAAACAGGAUUAGAAACCCCGGUAGUCC
Molecule: ribosomal RNA, 446 nt
Filed under: uncultured bacterium
Lineage: Bacteria
Description: bacterial SSU rRNA
Rfam family: Bacterial small subunit ribosomal RNA
Source: RNAcentral